GGGAAUGUAGUUUAAUGGUAGAACAAUAACCUUCCACGUUAAGGGUUCGGGUUCGAUUCCCGAUGUUCUCG
Cephalotrichum gorgonifer is the source of this 71-nucleotide non-coding RNA. The record is from the annotation of a GenBank genome assembly. Lineage: Eukaryota; Fungi; Ascomycota; Sordariomycetes; Microascales; Microascaceae.